GACGAACGCUGGCGGCGUGCUUAACACAUGCAAGUCGAACGGAAAGGCCCUGCUUUUGUGGGGUGCUCGAGUGGCGAACGGGUGAGUAACACGUGAGUAACCUGCCCUUGACUUUGGGAUAACUUCAGGAAACUGGGGCUAAUACCGGAUAGGAGCUCCUGCUGCAUGGUGGGGGUUGGAAAGUUUCGGCGGUUGGGGAUGGACUCGCGGCUUAUCAGCUUGUUGGUGGGGUAGCGGCUUACCAAGGCUUUGACGGGUAGCCGGCCUGAGAGGGUGACCGGCCACAUUGGGACUGAGAUACGGCACAGACUCCUACGGGAGGCAGCAGUGGGGAAUAUUGCACAAUGGGCGGAAGCCUGAUGCAGCAACGCCGCGUGCGGGAUGACGGCCUUCGGGUUGUAAACCGCUUUCGCCUGUGACGAAGCGUGAGUGACGGUAAUGGGUAAAGAAGCACCGGCUAACUACGUG
Molecule: ribosomal RNA, 468 nt
Filed under: uncultured bacterium
Lineage: Bacteria
Description: partial 16S ribosomal RNA
Rfam family: Bacterial small subunit ribosomal RNA
Source: RNAcentral